This 189-nucleotide unclassified non-coding RNA is filed under the name uncultured fungus. RNAcentral's name for it is "sequence contains ITS1, 5.8S rRNA gene". The record is from RNAcentral. Lineage: Eukaryota; Fungi.
UUAACUAUUAUAUAGUACUCAGACGACACUAAAAACAAGAGUUGGGGUUCUCUGGCGGGCACAUACCAACCGGAGUCGGUAGCCUAGGCGGCCCGCCAAAGCAACAAAGGUAUAAAUAUCAAGGGUGGGAGAUCUACCCGUUAGGGCAUGAACUCUGUAAUGAUCCUUCCGCAGGUUCACCUACGGAAA